Non-coding RNA from Paramormyrops kingsleyae, 1399 nucleotides. The record is from RefSeq and is a predicted model, not a curated record. Lineage: Eukaryota; Metazoa; Chordata; Actinopteri; Osteoglossiformes; Mormyridae.
AUCUGAAAUACACUGCACACAGCUGUGCCUCACAGAUCGACUGCAGCGCCUGGCUCCGAGUUUGCAGUCGUACCACACUGGAUCAGAUGGAACCGGUAGCUGUUUUUUAAGUUCUGAGCUUCAGUCAUGUUGGCGUGACAAUCCUGCCCCAAAGGGGGCCAGCUGGCGACCCCUGCUGCCAGAUGCAGGACAGGCACCCAACACACGAAGGUGAAAGUGGAAGCAGGUUUGCUAAGAGUGAUAUCUGAUUGCUUCAUAUGGCCUUAUGGGGGCAGCAGCGGCAAGGGAAGCACCAUAAGUCACCUGAUUUGGCCAGCUGGAGGUUGGGGGGCGCAGCAGGCCAAAGUAAAACCGCUUUGGAUAAUGGGUCGGUGUGAGAGUGUGUGCACGUGUGUGUGUGUGUGUGUGAGUACCCUGGGAUCGGGCUGCCGUCUUGUCCAGCAUGAACCCUGCUUCAUGCCCUGUGGUUCCUGGAACACACUCCGGACCACAGCGACCCCUCCUGGAUAAGUGGGUAAGUGCUUAUUGGACGUGGACAGACUGGCGAGAGCUGAAUGCUGUGCAGCGUGUAACAGCACUUGACCUGUUCUGUCUCUUGUCACCUGCGGUUUCCCCUCCUCAGGUCUUCUGAUAUUUUUAUCAUGCUACUGAAAAAUAGAGACUAAAAACGUUCCCUGCAUAGCUCUCUGCUCAAAGCUCAUCAGUGAUAAUUUAGUCACUCAGGGAAUCAGCAAGGAUUAGUUAGCUAGCCAGAUAUGUCAUCUUUAAUAAUACCUUUUUAGUAUUCAGUUUUAAAUGAAUCAUAAUUAAUCAGCCCAACUGUUUUCUGUCUCCUGCUUAGCUCUCUGGCUGGAGGGCUUGCUUGGCUCCAUCACCAUCGCUCCAUGAGGUGGGCUACAUAACGAGGGGCUUCCCGCCACAGGCUGGACCGGCAGCCAUGCCCACCUCUCAGCAGCAGACCGGGCGCAACCGGCCUGAUAUGUCAAACUUUCAGAACUGCAGCCGGGGGAACUGGGGAAGAGGCCGGGGAAACCGGGGAACCGCAGCCCGGGGAAACGGGGAACCACAGCCGGGGGAAAUAGAAUUAAGGAACUGCAGCGGGGGCAACAGGUGAACUGCAGCCAGGGGAAACGGGGAACCACAGCCAGUGGAAACGAGGAACCACAGCCAGUGGAAACUGGGAACCGCAGCCGGGAGAAAUUGGGAACUGGGGAACUGCAGCCGGGGCUACAGGUGAACUGCAGCAGCUGUGAAGUGAAACUUCUUCAAAAAGACUGUCUAUGUCAUUUGCUUUGCCCACUUAAGCCCUUAGAGUAAAUGUUUUCCAGCCAAGCAAAAUCCAUGUUUCUUGGUUGCACAAAAACAGCCAGUAUGUGAGAUCAUUAAAUCUGUUAUUUCU